GACGAACGCUGGCGGCGUGCUUAACACAUGCAAGUCGAACGGAAAGGCCCUGCUUUUGUGGGGUGCUCGAGUGGCGAACGGGUGAGUAACACGUGAGUAACCUGCCCUUGACUUUGGGAUAACUUCAGGAAACUGGGGCUAAUACCGGAUAGGAGCUCCUGCUGCAUGGUGGGGGUUGGAAAGUUUCGGCGGUUGGGGAUGGACUCGCGGCUUAUCAGCUUGUUGGUGGGGUAGUGGCUUACCAAGGCUUUGAUGGGUAGCCGGCCCGAGAGGGUGACCGGCCACAUUGGGACUGAGAUACGGCCCAGACUCCUACGGGAGGCAGCAGUGGGGAAUAUUGCACAAUGGGCGGAAGCCUGAUGCAGCAACGCCGCGUGCGGGAUGACGGCCUUCGGGUUGUAAACCGCUUUCGCCUGUGACGAAGCGUGAGUGACGGUAAUGGGUAAAGAAGCACCGGCUAACUACGUG
Molecule: ribosomal RNA, 468 nt
Filed under: uncultured bacterium
Lineage: Bacteria
Description: partial 16S ribosomal RNA
Rfam family: Bacterial small subunit ribosomal RNA
Source: RNAcentral